CCUACGGGAGGCAGCAGUAAGGAAUAUUGGUCAAUGGACGGAAGUCUGAACCAGCCAUCCCGCGUGCAGGAAGAAGGUCCUAUGGAUUGUAAACUGCUUUUAGCAGAGACGAAGACCUUUCAUUUAUGAGAGAGUGACGGUAUCUGCGGAAUAAGCACCGGCUAACUCCGUGCCAGCAGCCGCGGUAAUACGGAGGGUGCAAGCGUUAUCCGGAAUCACUGGGUUUAAAGGGUGCGUAGGCGGGGGAUUAAGUCAGUGGUGAAAGCCUGUAGCUUAACUACAGAAUUGCCAUUGAUACUGAUUUUCUUGAAUUGGGUUGAGGUUAGCGGAAUGUGACAUGUAACGGUGAAAUGUUUAGAUAUGUCAUGGAACACCGAUUGCGAAGGCAGCUAGCUGGGCCUUGAUUGACGCUGAGGCACGAAAGCGUGGGUAGCGAACAGGAUUAGAUACCCUGGUAGUCCACGCCCUAAACGAUGCUAACUCGAUGUUUGGAUUUAAGGUUUGAGCAUCCAAGGGAAACCGAUAAGUUAGCCACCUGGGGAGUACGACCGCAAGGUUGAAACUCAAAGGAAUUGACGG
RNAcentral lists this ribosomal RNA (579 nucleotides) under uncultured bacterium. Its description in RNAcentral is "bacterial SSU rRNA". It matches the Rfam family "Bacterial small subunit ribosomal RNA", at positions 338 to 916 of the family's 1533-position model. The record is from RNAcentral.